GUUUUAACUAGGGUUUUGAAUCAAGCACAGCUGCUCUUUCUUUUGUGGUCUUCUGCUUUCAUCGAAGCUAUGUCCAUUUUUCUGAAACAAUUUUGUGGCAGAGAAAGCUCUCAGUUUCCAAUAGAAACUCUCUCCUUCGCAUCAUAGCAAUCGCUUCUGCCGGGUCGGGUCUUUUGUAUGCCAAUAGCAACUCAAAUUCCAGAGCAAAUGUAGCAGUGAAGGUUCCUGUGGCUCUGCAGGAAUCACUAUCGCUGCCAUGGCGAAUUACGCAAUACAUAUUUCCCUGCCCUUCGUUACUUUUAUCGGAUCCAUGGCAACCUGGAAUGCUUCCAUUAUUUUCUUCUAGAGUUGGUUCGGCUCCAUCAUCGGAUAUAAAGAAAGACAAUUCUUUGGGGGCAGUUGGAGGUGACCCCAAACCAUGUUGCAAUUGUUUGGGGAGAGAUACAAUUGCAAAUGCUGCCGCUAGGGUUGGUCCUGCUGUAGUAAAUCUUUCGGUUCCACAGGGGUUCUAUGGCAUUACUAAUGGAAAGAGUAUAGGGUCAGGAACUAUAAUUGAUCAGGAUGGUACAAUUUUAACAUGUGCUCAUGUUGUGGUUGAUUUUCAAGGCAUGAGGGGUUCAGUCAAAGGAAAGGUCAGUGUCUUUGGUGCUUUGUAUGUGUUGUCUCCCUUAGUAAUACAACUGUUCCAUAAACGAAAACCUAUAUACAACUUCUCCAUAAACCAGUAGGUCUUGCUUUCCUCAUGCUUCACAGA
Molecule: RNA transcript, 754 nt
Organism: Quercus lobata
Lineage: Eukaryota; Viridiplantae; Streptophyta; Magnoliopsida; Fagales; Fagaceae
Gene name: putative protease Do-like 14
Exons: 5
Source: RefSeq, a predicted model, not a curated record